Molecule: unclassified non-coding RNA, 876 nt
Filed under: Rhizopus stolonifer
Lineage: Eukaryota; Fungi; Mucoromycota; Mucoromycetes; Mucorales; Rhizopodaceae
Description: sequence contains 18S rRNA gene, ITS1, 5.8S rRNA gene, ITS2 and 28S rRNA gene
Rfam family: 5.8S ribosomal RNA (bases 441-593)
Source: RNAcentral
UUCCGCCCGUCGCUACUACCGAUUGAAUGGUUAUAGUGAGCAUAUGGGAUCAGCAGGAUUCGAUGGGCAACCAUCAUUUCUUGUUAGAGAACUAUGGCAAACUAAGCUAUUUAGAGGAAGUAAAAGUCGUAACAAGGUUUCCGUAGGUGAACCUGCGGAAGGAUCAUUACUUAUGUAAUGGGGGGAAGGGAAAAAAAAAAAAAAAAAUUUUUUUUUUUUUUUUUCCUUCAUUCAACCCAUCAUCUCUUUACUGUGAAAACAUGGCGGUUAUAUAACGGUGACCGGUAUGAGGCUAUAUGGAUAGGCCUUUACCUGGAUAUGAUCCAAGCCAAUCAUUACCAAUAUUAUGGCCUGUAAAAGGGUUAUAAAGGCGGUUAAUGGUAUCCAACAAAUAUAAUAUACCUUGAAAUUCAGUUAAUAUUAUUUUAUAAUUAUAAAACAACUUUUAACAACGGAUCUCUUGGUUCUCGCAUCGAUGAAGAACGUAGCAAAGUGCGAUAACUAGUGUGAAUUGCAUAUUCAGUGAAUCAUCGAGUCUUUGAACGCAACUUGCACUCUAUGGUUUUCCGUANAGUACGCUUGCUUCAGUAUCAUAAAGACCCCAUCCUGAUUAUUAUUUUUUUAUUAAAAUAAUUAAUUUUGGAGAUAAUAAAAAUGAGGCUCUUUCUUUUCUUUUUUUUUUUUUUUAAAAAAAUUUUUUUUUUUUUUCUCCUUUUUGUGUAGUUAAUACUCUAUUAAAUUUAUUUACUUGGUAUUAUAACGAUUAUGCAAGAAGGGAGAGAACAAAGAAUAAUGAAAGAGAGUUUUUAAAUAAAUUCUUUUUUCAUUUUUUCAAUCAAUGAUCUGAAGUCAAGUGGGAUUACCCGCUGAACUUCC